Molecule: ribosomal RNA, 508 nt
Filed under: Eimeria sp. 33_1
Lineage: Eukaryota; Apicomplexa; Conoidasida; Eucoccidiorida; Eimeriidae
Description: SSU rRNA
Rfam family: Eukaryotic small subunit ribosomal RNA
Source: RNAcentral
GGAUUUCUGUCGUGGUCAUCCGGCUCCGCCUAUAUGGGUGUGCGCCUGGUUUGCCCUCGGCUUUCUUCAGGUAGCCUGCCGCGCUUCACUGCGUGUGUGGGGGUUCCGGAACUUUUACUUUGAGAAAAAUAGAGUGUUUCAAGCAGGCUUGUCGCCCUGAAUACUUCAGCAUGGAAUAAUAAGAUAGGACCUUGGCUCUAUUUUGUUGGUUUCUAGGACCAAGGUAAUGGUUAAUAGGGACAGUUGGGGGCAUUCGUAUUUAACUGUCAGAGGUGAAAUUCUAGAUUUGUUAAAGACGAACUACUGCGAAAGCAUUUGCCAAGGAUGUUUUCAUUAAUCAAGAACGACAGUAGGGGGUUUGAAGACGAUUAGAUACCGUCGUAAUCUCUACCAUAAACUAUGCCGACUAGAGAUAGGGAAUGCAUUAUCCCAAUCUUCCCUGCACCUCAUGAGAAAUCAAAGUCUCUGGGUUCUGGGGGGAGUAUGGUCGCAAGGCUGAAACUUAAAG